GAAAACGCAUCAUUUUCGCAUAAAUGGGGGAUUCUCGAAUAGAAAACGCGUGAUUUUCUGGUUAAGUGGGGGAUUUGCGAAUAGAAAACGCGUGAUUUUUGCUUCAAAGGGAGAUUUGAGAAGAGAAAACACGUGAUUUUCGCGUUAAAUGGCAAAUUCUCGGAGAGAAAACGCAUGAUUUUCGCAUAAAUGGGGGAUUUGAGAAGAGAAAAUGCGUGUUUUUCGCUUAAAUGGGGGAUGCUCG
RNAcentral lists this long non-coding RNA (244 nucleotides) under Gallus gallus (chicken). The record is from RNAcentral. Lineage: Eukaryota; Metazoa; Chordata; Aves; Galliformes; Phasianidae.